This is a long non-coding RNA of Drosophila sechellia, 988 nucleotides long. RefSeq lists it as uncharacterized. NCBI's taxonomy places the organism in Eukaryota, Metazoa, Arthropoda, Insecta, Diptera, Drosophilidae. The transcript is spliced from 5 exons. The record is from RefSeq and is a predicted model, not a curated record.
CCCGAGAUAUAUUCAGUUUGCCACCAGAGCUCGUCUGGAGCACAACUCGUUUCGGAAAAAUAAAAAUGUGAAAAAAACACAAAAUUCAUAGUAAAGCGACGGAAUUUAUUGGUUAACUUUCCGAGUUAUUACAUCCAAACAAACACGUACAGAUAAUGCAGUUUAAUCGAAUAAGGACAUAACACUGGAUACAUACAAGAAAUCAGUGCAGUUGCUACACAAGAUACACUGGAUACUCAUCCCAUCCCAAAUUUAGUUGGUCUGGCUAAAAUGCAAACUAAUCAAGAUCGUUCCGCCUACACUUGGUUAAUUAACAGUCUGAACAACCUAUGAUAGGUUUGUUCAACUGUCACACUCAAUAGCAAUGAAUCGGAAUGCUUCCACAGAUAAAAUGUUUUUCAAUUCGAUGGUACCAGUCCCGUUGGACGAGAGGAUUGCAUCGUUUUGGAUACAAAUGUUCUCUUGCAAACUAAUCUAAUGCCUGUUCUUCGUACACUAUGUUAUUGAAAUAUCUGCAAUCAAAUGAAAUCAUUGUUAACAGUCUGAACACCCUACCAAAGAUAAAACGAUGGUACCAGUCCCGUUGGACGAGAGGAUUGCAUCGCUUUGGAUACAAAUGUUCUCUUGCAAACUAAUCUAAUGCCUGUUCUUCGUACACUAUGUUAUUGAAAUAUCUGCAAUCAAAUCAAAUCAUUGUUAACAGUCUGAACACCCUACCAAAGAUAAAACGAUGGUACCAGUCCCGUUUGACGAGAGGAUUUCUUCGUUUUGCUUACAACUGUUGCUAACAUAUUGCCUGCCUUACCCUCAUCCUCAUACGCUAAUGAAUUGCCUCGCCUCUCUAGGAUUAGUUGGAUUGGCCCAAAUGCAAACUAAUGAAAAGAUCGUUCCGCAUAUUCAAGGUUAAUUGAUAGCUUUUCAUGUGAACUAUAAUCAAUUGCAUUAAUCAAACGGCUUGUCUGAAUAAACGUUGUUCGUCGAUCGUAAA